UGGGGAAUAUUGCACAAUGGGCGAAAGCCUGAUGCAGCAACGCCGCGUGAGUGAUGAAGGUCUUCGGAUUGUAAAGCUCUGUCUUUUGGGACGAUAAUGACGGUACCAAAGGAGGAAGCCACGGCUAACUACGUGCCAGCAGCCGCGGUAAUACGUAGGUGGCGAGCGUUGUCCGGAUUUACUGGGCGUAAAGGGUGCGUAGGCGGAUGUUUAAGUGAGAUGUGAAAUACCCGGGCUUAACUUGGGUGCUGCAUUUCAAACUGGAUAUCUAGAGUGCAGGAGAGGAGAAUGGAAUUCCUAGUGUAGCGGUGAAAUGCGUAGAGAUUAGGAAGAACACCAGUGGCGAAGGCGAUUCUCUGGACUGUAACUGACGCUGAGGCACGAAAGCGUGGGUAGCAAACAGGAUUAGAUACCCUGGUAUCCACGCCGUAAACGAUGAGUACUAGGUGUAGGAGGUAUCGACCCCUUCUGUGCCGCAGUAAACACAUU
This 489-nucleotide ribosomal RNA is filed under the name uncultured bacterium. RNAcentral's name for it is "partial 16S ribosomal RNA". It matches the Rfam family "Bacterial small subunit ribosomal RNA", at positions 355 to 861 of the family's 1533-position model. The record is from RNAcentral.